This 294-nucleotide ribosomal RNA is filed under the name uncultured bacterium. RNAcentral's name for it is "partial 16S ribosomal RNA". It matches the Rfam family "Bacterial small subunit ribosomal RNA", at positions 29 to 319 of the family's 1533-position model. The record is from RNAcentral.
AACGAACGCUAGCGGCAGGCUUAAUACAUGCAAGUCGAACGGUAACAGGUGUAGCAAUACAUGCUGACGAGUGGCAGACGGGUGAGGAACACGUACGCAACCUCCCUCAAACCGGGGCACAACCUUGAGAAAUCAGGGCUAAUUCCCCAUAACAUUGCGAAAGGGCAUCUGAUUGCAAUUAAAGAUUUAUCAGUUUGAGAUGGGCGUGCGUCUGAUUAGGUAGUUGGNGAGGUAACGGCUCACCAAGCCGACGAUCAGUAGCUGGUGUGAGAGCACGACCAGCCACACGGGCAC